This is a regulatory RNA element of 128 nucleotides. It matches the Rfam family "ylbH leader". Rfam says of the family: This family is a putative regulatory RNA structure that is found upstream of the ylbH gene in B. subtilis and related low GC Gram-positive bacteria. The record is from Rfam.
CGAAAAAAAACCCUACAGAUAUACUCUGUAGGGUCCUUCAAAACCUUUUCACAUGUAAAAGGUUGAAGGCAAAGGGAGAGGAGAAACCGGAGGAAGAACUUAUGGGGAAACGUAAGUCUUCUCCGCGG